RNAcentral lists this ribosomal RNA (746 nucleotides) under uncultured Oribacterium sp. RNAcentral describes it as "bacterial SSU rRNA". It matches the Rfam family "Bacterial small subunit ribosomal RNA", at positions 28 to 776 of the family's 1533-position model. Lineage: Bacteria; Bacillati; Bacillota; Clostridia; Lachnospirales; Lachnospiraceae. The record is from RNAcentral.
GAUGAACGCUGGCGGCGUGCCUAACACAUGCAAGUCGAACGAGAUGCGUAUUGGAAAGCUUCGGCCGGAAGAUACGUUAUCUAGUGGCGGACGGGUGAGUAACACGUGGGUAACCUGCCUUAUGGAGGGGGAUAACAGAGAGAAAUCACUGCUAAUACCGCAUAAGCACACAUUGCCGCAUGGCGGAGUGUGAAAAGAUUUAUCGCCAUAAGAUGGACCCGCGUCUGAUUAGCCAGUUGGCAGGGUAAAAGCCUACCAAAGCAACGAUCAGUAGCCGAUCUGAGAGGAUGACCGGCCACAUUGGGACUGAGACACGGCCCAAACUCCUACGGGAGGCAGCAGUGGGGAAUAUUGCACAAUGGGGGAAACCCUGAUGCAGCGACGCCGCGUGAGUGAAGAAGUAUUUCGGUAUGUAAAGCUCUAUCAGCAGGGAAGAUAAUGACAGUACCUGACUAAGAAGCCCCGGCUAACUACGUGCCAGCAGCCGCGGUAAUACGUAGGGGGCAAGCGUUAUCCGGAUUUACUGGGUGUAAAGGGAGCGUAGACGGAGUGGCAAGUCUGAAGUGAAAACCCUGGGCUUAACCUGGGGACUGCUUUGGAAACUGUUAAUCUAGAGUGUUGGAGAGGUAAGUGGAAUUCCUGGUGUAGCGGUGAAAUGCGUAGAUAUCAGGAAGAACACCGGAGGCGAAGGCGGCUUACUGGACAAUAACUGACGUUGAGGCUCGAAAGCGUGGGGAUCAAACAGG